AAAAAAUUCUCAGAGGAAGACUACUGCGAACUUAGCUAGCCGGAAACAAGCUGAAGAGCGUGUUGAGAGACCAGUAGUGCGGAUUCAAGCCAUGUUCCGUCCGAAGAAGGCACAGGAAGAAUAUCGAAGGAUCAAAUUGACCCAUAACCAAGCAGGCUGUCUCAAAGAUGAUACUCUGGUAACUCGCCACCCUUUUAUUGGUCAGAAUUUUGGAAAUGAAAGCCAAACCGAUGUAAAUUUCUAAGUUGAUGGUGAAGAAUUUGCUGCUCACAAGCUAGUUCCUGCAGUACGCUCACCAGUGUGCAUGGCACAAAGUCAAACCGAUGUAAAUUUUGAAGUUGAUGGUAAAGAAACUGCUGCUCAUAAGCUGGUUCCUGCGUAUAGGGCACAAAUUUCUGGUCCAAGGAAGUAUCAAAACACUCAAUUCGAGGAUUCAUGGUCUUCUUCAUGUGUGAAGAGCGGGAAAAACUUGAAGAGGAAAAAGUUUGAAGAAGAAGAAGAAACGGAGCAAAGAGAUGAUGCACUUAGUCCAACGAAGUAUCAAAACACUCAAUCUGCGGAUUCAUGGUCUUCUUCAAGUGUAGGGAACUGGAAAGACUCGAAGAGGAACAAGUUAGAAGAAGAAGAAGAAACGGUGGAAAGCGAUGAUGCAACUACGUCUACAAGGAUUUUCUUUUUUGAGCCGAGAUAGCCAGUAGGGCCCUGACCAGUAGGGUAAAACAAGAUUCGAGAAGAACAUGCUGAUCGUACACCCUUGAGCCCAUGGCUUGGCUUAUUGUGCUAAGAGUUCCCAGCGACCUUUGACUUUUGCCCAUUGGGAUCUCCUCUGUUUUUGUUAUCGCUUGAAAUUUGGAUAUAUUUUUCUUACAUUCGAAUUAUAAUUUGAUUCGAAAGUUUUAAACUGUAGUUCAGUUAAAAUAAAAAGUGAAAUAUGUAGGGCUAGAAUUUGAGAAUUUUGAG
RNAcentral lists this unclassified non-coding RNA (960 nucleotides) under Hevea brasiliensis (rubber tree). Lineage: Eukaryota; Viridiplantae; Streptophyta; Magnoliopsida; Malpighiales; Euphorbiaceae. The record is from RNAcentral.